This 464-nucleotide ribosomal RNA is filed under the name uncultured Flavobacteriaceae bacterium. RNAcentral's name for it is "bacterial SSU rRNA". It matches the Rfam family "Bacterial small subunit ribosomal RNA", at positions 33 to 492 of the family's 1533-position model. Lineage: Bacteria; Pseudomonadati; Bacteroidota; Flavobacteriia; Flavobacteriales; Flavobacteriaceae. The record is from RNAcentral.
ACGCUAGCGGCAGGCCUAAUACAUGCAAGUCGAACGGUAACAUUGGUGCUUGCACCAGAUGACGAGUGGCGCACGGGUGCGUAACGCGUAUGCAACCUACCUUUUACUAGAGUAUAGCCCAGAGAAAUUUGGAUUAAUCCUCUAUAACAUCUUUUAAUCUCCUGAUUUUAAGAUUAAAGUUUUAACGGUAAAAGAUGGGCAUGCGUCCUAUUAGUUUGUAGGUGAGGUAACGGCUCACCUAGACUACGAUAGGUAGGGGCCCUGAGAGGGGGAUCCCCCACACUGGUACUGAGACACGGACCAGACUCCUACGGGAGGCAGCAGUAAGGAAUAUUGGACAAUGGACGAAAGUCUGAUCCAGCCAUGCCGCGUGCAGGAUGACAGCCCUACGGGUUGUAAACUGCUUUUAUACAGGAAGAAACACUCCGACGUGUCGGAGCUUGACGGUACUGUAAGAAUAAGGA